RNAcentral lists this ribosomal RNA (497 nucleotides) under uncultured bacterium. RNAcentral's name for it is "partial 16S ribosomal RNA". It matches the Rfam family "Bacterial small subunit ribosomal RNA", at positions 28 to 507 of the family's 1533-position model. The record is from RNAcentral.
GAUGAACGCUGGCGGCGUGCCUAAUACAUGCAAGUCGAGCGAACAGACGAGGAGCUUGCUCCUCUGACGUUGGCGGCGGACGGGUGAGUAACACGUGGAUAACCUACCUAUAAGACUGGGCUAACUUCGGGAAACCGGAGCUAAUACCGGAUAAUAUAUUGAACCGCAUGGUUCAAUAGUGAAAGACGGUUUUGCUGUCACUUAUAGAUGGAUCCGCGCCGCAUUAGCUAGUUGGUAAGGUAACGGCUUCCCAAGGCAACGAUGCGUAGCCGACCUGAGAGGGUGAUCGGCCACACUGGAACUGAGACACGGUCCAGACUCCUACGGGAGGCAGCAGUAGGGAAUCUUCCGCAAUGGGCGAAAGCCUGACGGAGCAACGCCGCGUGAGUGAUGAAGGUCUUCGGAUCGUAAAACUCUGUUAUGAGGGAAGAACAAAUGUGUAAGUAACUAUGCACGUCUUGACGGUACCUAAUCAGAAAGCCACGGCUAACUACGUG